Molecule: ribosomal RNA, 1453 nt
Filed under: metagenome
Description: bacterial SSU rRNA
Rfam family: Archaeal small subunit ribosomal RNA
Source: RNAcentral
ACCGGUUGAUUCUGCCGGAGCUAGCUGCUAUUCGAGUUGUACUAAGUCAUGCAAGUUAAGGCACCGUCUACGUUGGUGCCUAGCGAAAAACUUAGUAACGCGUAGAUAAUCUGCCCUGGAGUUGAGGAUAACCUCGGGAAACUGAGGCUAAACCGCGAUAGCCCCCCUAUGUUGGAAUACUUGGGGGGUAAAAGGAGUAAGAGCAUGGUCUUACACGCUUCAGGACGAGUCUGCGUCCCAUCAGGUUGUAGGUGGGGUAACGGCCCACCUAGCCGAGGACGGGUACGGGUUGUGAGAGCAAUGACCCGAAGUUGGAUUCUGAGACAACAAUCCAGGGGCUAUGGCUUGCAGCAGGCGAGAAAACUUGACAAUGCGCGAAAGCGUGAUCAGGCAACUCGAAGUCCUAGGAGCAAUUCUAGGUUUUGUCCAGCGUGAAUACCUGGGCGAAUAAGGAGAGGGCAAGAACGGUGCCAGCCGCCGCGGUAAAACCGUCUCUUCGAGUGGCUAGCGUGUUUAUUGGGCCUAAAGCAUCCGUAGGUGGAUAGGUCACUCCCACAUCAAAGCCAGCGCCUCAAGCGUUUGAACUGUGUGGGACAGUGCCUAUCUUGGCAAUGGGAGAGACGAGCGGUAUUCAGGGAGUAAAGGUGAAAUUUUAUAAUCCCCUGGAGACCACCGAUGGCGAAGGCAGCUCGUUGGAACAUGUGUGACACUGAUGGAUGAAAGCCAGGGGAGCGAGUCGGAUUAGAUACCCGGGUAGUCCUGGCUGUAAACGAUGCGGACUAAGUGUUAGGGGGUCUUGAGGCCUUCUAGUGCCGAAGCGAAGGCGUUAAGUCCGCCGCCUGGGAAGUACGGACGCAAGUCUGAAACUUAAAGAAAUUGGCGGGAGAGCGCCACAACCGGUGGAGCCUGCGGCUUAAUUGGACAGCGCCGAAAACCUCACCAGGGCCGACAGCAUUAUGAUCGUCAAGCUGAUGACUUUACGUGAAGCGCUGAGCGGAGGUGCAUGGCCGUCGUCAGUUCGUGCCGUGAGGUGUCGUGUUAAGUCACGCAACGAACGAGACCUCUACCACUAGUUGCUAGCGAACCCUGCGGGGUGUCGAGGACACUAGUGGGACUGCCAGUGCUAAACUGGAGGAAGGUAGAGGCCACGGCAGGUCAGUAUGCCCCUAAUGCCCUGGGCCGCACGCGGGCUACAAUGGGCGCCACAAUGGGAUCCUACCCCGAAAGGGGACGGAAAUCUCGAAAGGUGUCCGCAGUCUGGAUUGCGGGUUGCAACCCACCCCCAUGAAAUUGGAAUCGGUAGUAAUCGUGCUUCAUCAUAGCGCGGUGAAUACGUCCCCUCUCUUUGCACACACCGCCCGUCGCAGCACGGAAGUCGGGGAUGGAUGAGGCCGCCACUCAGUGUGGUGGUCGAGUCUGGCCUCGAUGACUGGGCUGAAGUCGUAACAAGGUA